AUUAAAAAAAAAAUUAGUAUAAAUUUAAAUUAAUAAAAAUAAUUUUUAAUAAAAUAUUUGGGGGGGUUUAAGUAUUUUAUAAAGAAAAAAUUUUUUAAUUUAUAAAGAAUUAGUAUUGUGAAAGAAUUUUGAAAUAGUUGAAAAUUAAUUUUUUUUUAAGUAAAUUUAAUUUAUUGUAUCUUGUGUAUCAGAGUUUAUUAAUAAAAUAUUUUAGUUGAAAAUUUUCUCGAAUUUAAAAGAGUUAAUUAAUUAAGAAAUUUAUUGUGGAAAAAAUAUUUUUCAUAGUUAAUUAGAAAUGAAAUGUUAAUCGUUUUUAAAUAUAUCUAGUUUUUUUAGAAAAAAAUUUAAUUUUAAAUUGUUUUAAUAAAAAUGUUAAAUAAAAAAUAUUUUUAAAAAAAAAUUUAAUAUAUUAAGGGAUAAGCUUUAAUUUAAAUUAUUAUAAAAUAUUUUUUUUUUUAUUGAAAAUUUUAAAAUUUGUAUUGUUUAUAAACUAUAAUUUUUUAUAAAUAAUUUCAUUAAAAAUAAAAUUUAAUUAAAUUUUAAUUUUUUAUAAAAAAUUAAAAUUUAAUAGUAAAAUUUUAAUUAUAAUGAUAAAAUUAGUAUAAAAAUUAUAUUUAUAAUUAAAUUAUAUAAAAUUAAAUUAAUAAAAUAAAUUUAUAUGUAAAAUAAAUUAUAAGGAAUUCGGCAAAAAUUUAUAUUCACUUGUUUAUCAAAAACAUGUCUUUUUGAAUAAUAAUUUAAAGUCUAAUCUGCCCACUGAUAAAAUAUUAAAGGGCUGCAGUAUUUUGACUGUACAAAGGUAGCAUAAUCAUUAGUCUCUUAAUUGGUGACUUGUAUGAAAGAUUGGAUGAAAUAUAUACUGUCUUAUUUUUUUUUAUAGAAUUUAAUUUUUUAGUUAAAAAGCUAAAAUAAAUUUAAAAGACGAGAAGACCCUAUAGAGUUUUAUAUAGAACAAUAAUUAAAAAUUUUUUUAUUAAUUUAAAAUUAAAAUUUAAUUUUAUAUUUUGUUGGGGUGAUAGAAAAAUAAAAUAAACUUUUUUUAUAUAAUAUAUAUAUAUAUAUAUAUAUAUAUAAUUAACAUAUAUAAAUGAUUAAAUGAUCCAUAAUUUUUGAUUAUAAGAUUAAAUUACCUUAGGGAUAACAGCGUAAUUUUUUUUUUUAGUUCAAAUAAAAAAAAAAGUUUGCGACCUCGAUGUUGGAUUAAGAUAAAAUUUAAAUGCAAAAGUUUAAAAUUUUGAUCUGUUCGAUCAUUAAAAUCUUACAUGAUCUGAGUUCAAACCGGUGUGAGCCAGGUUGGUUUCUAUCUUUAAAUAGUUAAAAUAUUUUAGUACGAAAGGAUUGAAUAUUUAAAAUAAUUUUAUAGUGAUUGAAUGUUAAUAAAAUUUAUUUAUAAUAUUAAAAUUAAA
RNAcentral lists this ribosomal RNA (1406 nucleotides) under Archips podanus. RNAcentral describes it as "16S ribosomal RNA". Lineage: Eukaryota; Metazoa; Arthropoda; Insecta; Lepidoptera; Tortricidae. The record is from RNAcentral.